GGACGGUUAGCUCAGCUGGGAGAGCAUCUGCCUUACAAGCAGAGGGUCGGCGGUUCGAUCCCGUCACCGUCCACCA
RNAcentral lists this transfer RNA (76 nucleotides) under Laceyella putida. RNAcentral's name for it is "tRNA-Val". It matches the Rfam family "tRNA". Rfam says of the family: Transfer RNA (tRNA) molecules are approximately 80 nucleotides in length. Their secondary structure includes four short double-helical elements and three loops (D, anti-codon, and T loops). Further hydrogen bonds mediate the characteristic L-shaped molecular structure. tRNAs have two regions of fundamental functional importance: the anti-codon, which is responsible for specific mRNA codon recognition, and the 3' end, to which the tRNAs corresponding amino acid is attached (by aminoacyl-tRNA synthetases). tRNAs cope with the degeneracy of the genetic code in two manners: having more than one tRNA (with a specific anti-codon) for a particular amino acid; and 'wobble' base-pairing, i.e. permitting non-standard base-pairing at the 3rd anti-codon position. Lineage: Bacteria; Bacillati; Bacillota; Bacilli; Caryophanales; Thermoactinomycetaceae. RNAcentral also lists the same sequence under 1 other name. The record is from RNAcentral.